Long non-coding RNA from Macrobrachium nipponense, 905 nucleotides. RefSeq lists it as uncharacterized. The transcript is spliced from 3 exons. The record is from RefSeq and is a predicted model, not a curated record. Lineage: Eukaryota; Metazoa; Arthropoda; Malacostraca; Decapoda; Palaemonidae.
GCGUAAAACUACUAAGUCUCCGUACUCGAAAUAACGUCUAUAAAAUUUUGCACUGAAAUAAGCCCAUAGGCCAAUAACACCAAGACACCAAACCAACCCACCUCACAGACGAUAAAAACAACUGAAGCACUCCAGUGAAUCAGUAGCUUUACUAUUUCAGAAAUUCAGAAAUUCAGACUUCAGUUGCUGUUUCAACUGUGGUGUGUAAGGUGUACUCGUUGGUGUUGUUGACUUCUUGUUUGGUGUUAUAGGCCUACAAGACUAUUGCAGUGCUGAAGCUUGUAGAAGUUCUUUAUAGACUUCAGAGAAUCUAUUGGUCUAGGACUACUGAUUUUCAUUCCACAAUAUCAGCUAGACUUGAAGCUGAAAACUGUUUACGAAGUAACGGAGAAGCUUAUUGUGUAAAAUAAGAGAGGUACUGUUACAAUUCAGUUCUAAAUAAGAUCAUGAAGAGGAAUGACGAAGUGAGAAGAAAUAGUUCAGCUAGAGGAGAAAGGGGGCACUAUAAUGACCCUUGGAUCAGAAUCUUGUCCUACUUCGUCGCUGCCUCUUGCAGCGAGGGUCAACUCUAUGCAAGUCUCCUCGACGCCUUGGGCUUGAAGCUGUUUCAGGGCAGUGACAUACUGCAGGAGCAAGAGACAAGUCUGUCGCUCCCAUUCCAGUGGGGCUUUCAGCAAAUCUGGAAGGCUUUCAUCUGCUAGUGUUCUCAAGGUAGUAAGGUUCAAGGAUGGUAGAACCCAUACAGUUCCUGCAAUGAGAAUUUUUCCAGUCUUAUGCGACACCAAGUGUGUGGGAAGCUGAUCUUUGAACUCUGUGAUGGGCAUUGUGGUCAAGAGAUGGUGGGCAUCCACUUUCGUCUCUGGGGUCAACAUGAGCGUUAUGUCCUUUCCACAGGCGACUCCUUG